This 303-nucleotide ribosomal RNA is filed under the name uncultured bacterium. Its description in RNAcentral is "partial 16S ribosomal RNA". It matches the Rfam family "Bacterial small subunit ribosomal RNA", at positions 507 to 807 of the family's 1533-position model. The record is from RNAcentral.
AGCAGCAGCCGCGGUAAAACGAAGGGUGCAAGCGUUACUCGGAAUUACUGGGCGUAAAGCGUGCGUAGGUGGUGGUUUAAGUCCGUUGUGAAAGCCCUGGGCUCAACCUGGGAAUUGCAGUGGAUACUGGGUCACUAGAGUGUGGUAGAGGAUAGUGGAAUUUCCGGUGUAGCAGUGAAAUGCGUAGAGAUCGGAAGGAACAUCUGUGGCGAAGGCGACUAUCUGGGCCAACACUGACACUGAGGCACGAAAGCGUGGGGAGCAAACAGGAUUAGAUACCCGGGUAGUCCCUGUCUCUUAUAC